GAGGAAUAUUGGUCAAUGGCCGAGAGGCUGAACCAGCCAAGUCGCGUGAGGGAUGAAGGUUCUAUGGAUCGUAAACCUCUUUUAUAAGGGAAUAAAGUGCGGGACGUGUCCCGUUUUGUAUGUACCUUAUGAAUAAGGAUCGGCUAACUCCGUGCCAGCAGCCGCGGUAAUACGGAGGAUCCGAGCGUUAUCCGGAUUUAUUGGGUUUAAAGGGUGCGUAGGCGGCCUUUUAAGUCAGCGGUGAAAGUCUGUGGCUCAACCAUAGAAUUGCCGUUGAAACUGGGGGGCUUGAGUAUGUUUGAGGCAGGCGGAAUGCGUGGUGUAGCGGUGAAAUGCAUAGAUAUCACGCAGAACCCCGAUUGCGAAGGCAGCCUGCCAAGCCAUUACUGACGCUGAUGCACGAAAGCGUGGGGAUCAAACA
This 421-nucleotide ribosomal RNA is filed under the name uncultured Parabacteroides sp. RNAcentral describes it as "bacterial SSU rRNA". It matches the Rfam family "Bacterial small subunit ribosomal RNA", at positions 356 to 774 of the family's 1533-position model. Lineage: Bacteria; Pseudomonadati; Bacteroidota; Bacteroidia; Bacteroidales; Tannerellaceae. The record is from RNAcentral.